UACGUAGGGUGCGAGCGUUAAUCGGAAUUACUGGGCGUAAAGCGUGCGCAGGCGGUUGUGCAAGACAGAUGUGGAAAUCCCCGGGCUUAACCUGGGAAUUGCAUUUGUGACUGCACGGCUAGAGUGUGUCAGAGGGGGGUAGAAUUCCACGUGUAGCAGUGAAAUGCGUAGAUAUGUGGAGGAAUACCGAUGGCGAAGCAGGCCCC
RNAcentral lists this ribosomal RNA (206 nucleotides) under uncultured bacterium. RNAcentral describes it as "partial 16S ribosomal RNA". It matches the Rfam family "Bacterial small subunit ribosomal RNA", at positions 524 to 729 of the family's 1533-position model. The record is from RNAcentral.